Molecule: non-coding RNA, 107 nt
Organism: Gossypium raimondii (Peruvian cotton)
Lineage: Eukaryota; Viridiplantae; Streptophyta; Magnoliopsida; Malvales; Malvaceae
Source: Rfam
AGCUCAUGAUGACAACAACUUCUCAAUAAGUCCUUGUAUCUCUCCCAUGCAUCAUAUAAUGUCUCCAAGUUGAUCUAAACAAAAAAAGAGAUGUCAUUCCUCAACUU